Molecule: ribosomal RNA, 903 nt
Filed under: Lactiplantibacillus plantarum
Lineage: Bacteria; Bacillati; Bacillota; Bacilli; Lactobacillales; Lactobacillaceae
Description: bacterial SSU rRNA
Rfam family: Bacterial small subunit ribosomal RNA
Source: RNAcentral
GCUAUAAUGCAGUCGACGAACUCUGGUAUUGAUUGGUGCUUGCAUCAUGAUUUACAUUUGAGUGAGUGGCGAACUGGUGAGUAACACGUGGGAAACCUGCCCAGAAGCGGGGGAUAACACCUGGAAACAGAUGCUAAUACCGCAUAACAACUUGGACCGCAUGGUCCGAGUUUGAAAGAUGGCUUCGGCUAUCACUUUUGGAUGGUCCCGCGGCGUAUUAGCUAGAUGGUGGGGUAACGGCUCACCAUGGCAAUGAUACGUAGCCGACCUGAGAGGGUAAUCGGCCACAUUGGGACUGAGACACGGCCCAAACUCCUACGGGAGGCAGCAGUAGGGAAUCUUCCACAAUGGACGAAAGUCUGAUGGAGCAACGCCGCGUGAGUGAAGAAGGGUUUCGGCUCGUAAAACUCUGUUGUUAAAGAAGAACAUAUCUGAGAGUAACUGUUCAGGUAUUGACGGUAUUUAACCAGAAAGCCACGGCUAACUACGUGCCAGCAGCCGCGGUAAUACGUAGGUGGCAAGCGUUGUCCGGAUUUAUUGGGCGUAAAGCGAGCGCAGGCGGUUUUUUAAGUCUGAUGUGAAAGCCUUCGGCUCAACCGAAGAAGUGCAUCGGAAACUGGGAAACUUGAGUGCAGAAGAGGACAGUGGAACUCCAUGUGUAGCGGUGAAAUGCGUAGAUAUAUGGAAGAACACCAGUGGCGAAAGCGGCUGUCUGGUCUGUAACUGACGCUGAGCUCGAAAGUAUGGGUAGCAAACAGAUUAGAUACCCUGGUAGUCCAUACCCGUAAACGAUGAAUGCUAAGUGUUGGAGGGUUUCCGCCCUUCAGUGCUGCAGCUAACGCUUAAGCAUUCCGGCCUGGGAAGUACGGCCGCUAGGCUGAACUCAAGGAAUUGACGGGGCCC